GUUGCCACAAGAAGUAACCCACCACAGCAAGAAGCAGCAGCAAGAUGGGCAGGGUCCCUGCCAGGGCGGCGAUCCAGGGCUGGGCGCUCCUGAAGAAGGGGUCUGCAAAGGGACGGUCUGUGGGCCGGGGGGCCUGUGGCUCUGUCUUCCCAGCCUGCAGCACCUCGAGCUUUAGCUGCUCCCCCCAGGGUGGGGGUACGGAACCUGUGUCAUGAGGGUAAACAAUCUUUCUCUUCCUAAAGUCUCAGACAACUUUGGAUAAGACUUUGGCCUGUGUGGCGUUUCCUUGUAUGGAAGUUCCGUAUCAGUGAACAUUUGUAUAGUUUCCUAACCUCGUGCAGUCAUAAUGAGUGCUGUAAGAAACAGCCUUUUACAUGGAUCAUCUCCCACAAGUGUAAGCUUAUGUAUCAGAUAAAUCCCCAGAAGUGGACUUUUGGAUCAAUAAAUAUGUGGUGCGAAUAGAUAUUGCACUAUAGCCCCCAAUAGAGGUUCUGCUUAUGUAUACCGAGGAUACAAGAAAUGACACAGCAAAUGCCUGAGAGUUACUGCCUCCCUGCAUCCUGCCAUCAGAAUGUGUUAUCAGUUACUGGUUUUGCUUGUUUUUUGCCAAUGUCAUAAGUGAAAAAUGCUUUAAUAUACAUUUCUCUGAUAAGCGA
Lemur catta (Ring-tailed lemur) is the source of this 656-nucleotide long non-coding RNA. RefSeq lists it as uncharacterized. The record is from RefSeq and is a predicted model, not a curated record. The transcript has 2 exons. Lineage: Eukaryota; Metazoa; Chordata; Mammalia; Primates; Lemuridae.